This 164-nucleotide ribosomal RNA is filed under the name Camellia reticulata. RNAcentral's name for it is "5.8S ribosomal RNA". It matches the Rfam family "5.8S ribosomal RNA". From Rfam's summary of the family: 5.8S ribosomal RNA (5.8S rRNA) is a component of the large subunit of the eukaryotic ribosome. It is transcribed by RNA polymerase I as part of the 45S precursor that also contains 18S and 28S rRNA. Functionally, it is thought that 5.8S rRNA may be involved in ribosome translocation. The record is from RNAcentral. Lineage: Eukaryota; Viridiplantae; Streptophyta; Magnoliopsida; Ericales; Theaceae.
UAAACGACUCUCGGCAACGGAUAUCUCGGCUCUCGCAUCGAUGAAGAACGUAGCGAAAUGCGAUACUUGCUGUGAAUUGCAGAAUCCCGCGAACCAUCGAGUCUUUGAACGCAAGUUGCGCCCGAAGCCAUUAGGUUGAGGGCACGUCUGCCUGGGCGUCUCAC